RNAcentral lists this transfer-messenger RNA (363 nucleotides) under Nannocystis exedens. It matches the Rfam family "transfer-messenger RNA". From Rfam's summary of the family: Bacterial tmRNA, also known as 10Sa RNA or SsrA, is named for its dual tRNA and mRNA-like properties. Lineage: Bacteria; Pseudomonadati; Myxococcota; Nannocystales; Nannocystaceae. The record is from RNAcentral.
GGGGGUGUUACGGUUUCGACGGGGGUACUGAACGCGAAGGUUGCGUGCCGCGGAUCCUCGACCACCGCGUCAAAACGAUCGAGGAAACACAGCUGCCAACGACAGCAACUACGGCCGUAUGGCCAUCGCCGCCUAAGAAACGGUGACAUCCUCUCCUUAGGUGCUCCCAGUCGGGAAGAGGGUGUUAUUACAGGGAGCUAGCCGACGGGAAUGCCCCGGAUCGUCGGCGAAAUUCAGGGGAUCGGAGCGAGGAGGGCCUGUCGGCGGGCAUGCUUCGCUCUCAAAUCAAAUCCACCGACUACGCACGUAGAUGCCCCGCCUGAUGGCUUCCGGACCCGGGUUCGACUCCCGGCGCCUCCAACC